CUGCCACAUCAGGAGUCAAACCUGGGAGCUUUGGGUAGUAGUCUAACCUCUUAGCCACUAGGCUAUGAAGAA
Molecule: non-coding RNA, 72 nt
Organism: Oesophagostomum dentatum (nodular worm)
Lineage: Eukaryota; Metazoa; Nematoda; Chromadorea; Rhabditida; Strongylidae
Source: the annotation of a GenBank genome assembly